RNAcentral lists this ribosomal RNA (766 nucleotides) under uncultured Staphylococcus sp. RNAcentral describes it as "bacterial SSU rRNA". It matches the Rfam family "Bacterial small subunit ribosomal RNA", at positions 28 to 776 of the family's 1533-position model. Lineage: Bacteria; Bacillati; Bacillota; Bacilli; Caryophanales; Staphylococcaceae. The record is from RNAcentral.
GAUGAACGCUGGCGGCGUGCCUAAUACAUGCAAGUCGAGCGAACAGACGAGGAGCUUGCUCCUCUGACGUUAGCGGUGGACGGGUGAGUAACACGUGGAUAACCUACCUAUAAGACUGGGAUAACUUCGGGAAACCGGAGCUAAUACCGGAUAACAUGUUGAACCGCAUGGUUCAACAGUGAAAGACGGUCUUGCUGUCACUUAUAGAUGGAUCCGCGCCGCAUUAGCUAGUUGGUAAGGUAACGGCUUACCAAGGCAACGAUGCGUAGCCGACCUGAGAGGGUGAUCGGCCACACUGGAACUGAGACACGGUCCAGACUCCUACGGGAGGCAGCAGUAGGGAAUCUUCCGCAAUGGGCGAAAGCCUGACGGAGCAACGCCGCGUGAGUGAAGAAGGUCUUCGGAUCGUAAAACUCUGUUAUUAGGGAAGAACAAAUGUGUAAGUAACUAUGCACGUCUUGACGGUACCUAAUCAGAAAGCCACGGCUAACUACGUGCCAGCAGCCGCGGUAAUACGUAGGUGGCAAGCGUUAUCCGGAAUUAUUGGGCGUAAAGCGCGCGUAGGCGGUUUUUUAAGUCUGAUGUGAAAGCCCACGGCUCAACCGUGGAGGGUCAUUGGAAACUGGAAAACUUGAGUGCAGAAGAGGAGAGUGGAAUUCCAUGUGUAGCGGUGAAAUGCGCAGAGAUAUGGAGGAACACCAGUGGCGAAGGCGACUUUCUGGUCUGUAACUGACGCUGAUGUGCGAAAGCGUGGGGAUCAAACAGG